UAAUAGCGUAUAUUAAAGUUGUUGCAGUUAAAAAGCUCGUAGUCGGAUGUCGGGCUCGGAGAGGCUGUCGGCCUUUGGUCGGACGGCAUCUCCGGGCCUUUCUGCCUGGGGAUCCUACUCUGCUUAACCGCAGGGUAGUGGGACGCAGGCCGUUUACUUUGAAAAAAUUAGAGUGUUCAAAGCAGGCCUACGCUUGAAUACAUUAGCAUGGAAUAAUGGAAUAGGACUUUGGUCUUAUUUGUUGGUUUAUGGGACCGAAGUAAUGAUUAACAGGGACAGUUGGGGCCGUUUAUAUUUCGUUGUCAGAGGUGAAAUUCUUGGAUUUACGAAAGAUAAACCUCUGCGAAAGCAUUCGGCAAGGAUGUUUNCAUUG
RNAcentral lists this ribosomal RNA (373 nucleotides) under uncultured eukaryote. RNAcentral describes it as "partial 18S ribosomal RNA". It matches the Rfam family "Eukaryotic small subunit ribosomal RNA", at positions 592 to 975 of the family's 1831-position model. The record is from RNAcentral.